GGGUGACCUACCUUGAGGAUGGGGAUAGCUGUUAGAAAUAGCAGGUAAUACCGAAUACGUUCACAAUAUUAUGAUUAUGUGAAGAAAGAAGCUACGGCUCCGCCUUGAGAUGGGCCCGCGUCCCAUUAGCUAGUUGGUGAGGUAAAGGCCCACCAAGGCGAAGAUGGGUAGCCGGCCUGAGAGGGUGAACGGCCACACUGGGACUGAGAUACGGCCCAGACUCCUACGGGAGGCAGCAGCUAAGAAUAUUCCACAAUGGACGAAAGUCUGAUGGAGCGACGCCGCGUGGAUGACGAAGGCCGAAAGGUUGUAAAAUCCUUUUGCGGAUGAAGAAUAAGCGGUGGAGGGAAUGCCAUCGUGAUGACGUUAGUCCGCGAAUAAGCCCCGGCUAAUUACGUGCCAGCAGCCGCGGUAACACGUAAGGGGCAAGCGUUGUUCGGAAUUAUUGGGCGUAAAGGGCGCGUAGGCGGCCGCGUAAGUCUGAUGUGAAAACCCCGGGCUCAACCCGGGAACUGCAUUGGAAACUGUGCGGCUUGAGUCACGGAGGGGAAAUCGGAAUUCCUGGUGUAGGGGUGAAAUCUGUAGAUAUCAGGAAGAACACCGGUGGCGAAGGCGGAUUUCCAGCCGAUGACUGACGCUGAGGCGCGAAAGUGCGGGGAGCAAACAGGAUUAGAUACCCUGGUAGUCCGCACUAUAAACGAUGCACACUAGGUGUCGGGACGAGCGUCUCGGCGCCGGAGCGAACGCGAUAAGUGUGCCGCCUGGGGAGUAUGCCCGCAAGGGUGAAACUCAAAGGAAUUGACGGAAUCACU
Molecule: ribosomal RNA, 812 nt
Filed under: uncultured bacterium
Lineage: Bacteria
Description: bacterial SSU rRNA
Rfam family: Bacterial small subunit ribosomal RNA
Source: RNAcentral